CAGUAGCCGCGGUAAUACGAAGGGGGCUAGCGUUGCUCGGAUUUACUGGGCGUAAAGGGCGCGUAGGCGGACAGUUAAGUUGGGGGUGAAAGCCCGGGGCUCAACCUCGGAAUUGCCUUCAAUACUGGCUGUCUUGAGUGUGAGAGAGGUGUGUGGAACUCCGAGUGUAGAGGUGAAAUUCGUAGAUAUUCGGAAGAACACCAGUGGCGAAGGCGGCUUACUGGCUCAUUCUAGACGCUGAGGUGCGAAAGCGUGGGGAGCAAACAGGAUUAGAUACCCCCGUAGUCCCUGUCUCUUAUAC
This 301-nucleotide ribosomal RNA is filed under the name uncultured bacterium. RNAcentral describes it as "partial 16S ribosomal RNA". It matches the Rfam family "Bacterial small subunit ribosomal RNA", at positions 509 to 807 of the family's 1533-position model. The record is from RNAcentral.